This 253-nucleotide ribosomal RNA is filed under the name uncultured bacterium. Its description in RNAcentral is "partial 16S ribosomal RNA". It matches the Rfam family "Bacterial small subunit ribosomal RNA", at positions 524 to 776 of the family's 1533-position model. The record is from RNAcentral.
UACGAAGGGGGCGAGCGUUGUUCGGAUUCAUUGGGCGUAAAGGGUGCGUAGGCGGCGCGGUAAGUCGGGUGUGAAAUCUCGGGGCUUAACUCCGAAACUGCAUUCGAUACUGCCGUGCUUGAGGACUGGAGAGGAGACUGGAAUUUACGGUGUAGCGGUGAAAUGCGUAGAUAUCGUAAGGAAGACCAGUGGCGAAGGCGGGUCUCUGGACAGUUCCUGACGCUGAGGCACGAAGGCCAGGGGAGCAAACGGG